GUCCACGCUGUAAACGAUGAGCACUAGGUGUCGCGGGUAUUGACCACUGCGGUGCCGACGCUAACGCAUUAAGUGCUCCGCCUGGGGAGUACGGUCGCAAGAUUAAAACUCAAAGGAAUUGACGGGGGCCCGCACAAGCGGUGGAGCAUGUGGUUCAAUUCGACGCAACGCGCAGAACCUUACCCGGGCUAGACAACGGUGGACCGCCCCAGAGAUGGGGCUUUCCCUCGGGGACCGCCGGUUCAGGUGCUGCAUGGCUGUCGU
RNAcentral lists this ribosomal RNA (264 nucleotides) under uncultured bacterium. Its description in RNAcentral is "partial 16S ribosomal RNA". It matches the Rfam family "Bacterial small subunit ribosomal RNA", at positions 793 to 1055 of the family's 1533-position model. The record is from RNAcentral.